Molecule: ribosomal RNA, 409 nt
Filed under: bacterium
Lineage: Bacteria
Description: partial 16S ribosomal RNA
Rfam family: Bacterial small subunit ribosomal RNA
Source: RNAcentral
UGGGGAAUAUUGCACAAUGGGCGGAAGCCUGAUGCAGCGACGCCGCGUGGGGGAUGAAGGCCUUCGGGUUGUAAACUCCUUUCGACAGGGACGAAGCUUUUGUGACGGUACCUGUAUAAGAAGCACCGGCUAACUACGUGCCAGCAGCCGCGGUAAUACGUAGGGUGCGAGCGUUGUCCGGAAUUACUGGGCGUAAAGAGCUCGUAGGUGGUUUGUCGCGUCGUCUGUGAAAUUCCGGGGCUUAACUCCGGGCGUGCAGGCGAUACGGGCUGACUUUAGUGCUGUAGGGGAGACUGGAAUUCCUGGUGUAGCGGUGAAAUGCGCAGAUAUCAGGAGGAACACCGAUGGCGAAGGCAGGUCUCUGGGCAGUAACUGUCGCUGAGGAGCGAAAGCAUGGGUAGCGAACAGG